This 469-nucleotide ribosomal RNA is filed under the name uncultured bacterium. Its description in RNAcentral is "partial 16S ribosomal RNA". It matches the Rfam family "Bacterial small subunit ribosomal RNA", at positions 28 to 507 of the family's 1533-position model. The record is from RNAcentral.
GACGAACGCUGGCGGCGUGCUUAACACAUGCAAGUCGAACGGAAAGGCCCUGCUUGCAGGGUGCUCGAGUGGCGAACGGGUGAGUAACACGUGGGUGAUCUGCCCCUUAUUUUGGGAUAAGCCUGGGAAACUGGGUCUAAUACUGGAUAGGACCAUGCUGUAGGUGGUGUGGUGGAAAGAUUAGUUUCGGUAAGGGAUGAGCUCGCGGCCUAUCAGCUUGUUGGUGGGGUAAUGGCCUACCAAGGCGUCGACGGGUAGCCGGCCUGAGAGGGUGGACGGCCACAUUGGGACUGGGAUACGGCCCAGACUCCUACGGGAGGCAGCAGUGGGGAAUAUUGCACAAUGGGCGCAAGCCUGAUGCAGCGACGCCGCGUGGGGGAUGACGGCCUUCGGGUUGUAAACUCCUUUCAGCCAUGACGAAGCCCUUGUGGUGACGGUAGUGGUAGAAGAAGCACCGGCUAACUACGUG